GUGGGGAAUAUUGGACAAUGGGCGCAAGCCUGAUCCAGCCAUGCCGCGUGAGUGAUGAAGGCCCUAGGGUUGUAAAGCUCUUUCACCGGUGAAGAUAAUGACGGUAACCGGAGAAGAAGCCCCGGCUAACUUCGUGCCAGCAGCCGCGGUAAUACGAAGGGGGCUAGCGUUGUUCGGAAUUACUGGGCGUAAAGCGCACGUAGGCGGAUAUUUAAGUCAGGGGUGAAAUCCCAGAGCUCAACUCUGGAACUGCCUUUGAUACUGGGUAUCUUGAGUAUGGAAGAGGUAAGUGGAAUUGCGAGUGUAGAGGUGAAAUUCGUAGAUAUUCGCAGGAACACCAGUGGCGAAGGCGGCUUACUGGUCCAUUACUGACGCUGAGGUGCGAAAGCGUGGGGAGCAA
This 400-nucleotide ribosomal RNA is filed under the name uncultured Rhizobiaceae bacterium. RNAcentral describes it as "bacterial SSU rRNA". It matches the Rfam family "Bacterial small subunit ribosomal RNA", at positions 354 to 771 of the family's 1533-position model. Lineage: Bacteria; Pseudomonadati; Pseudomonadota; Alphaproteobacteria; Hyphomicrobiales; Rhizobiaceae. The record is from RNAcentral.